AAAACGACUCUCGGCAACGGAUAUCUCGGCUCUCGCAUCGAUGAGAACGCAGCGAAAUGCGAUACUUGGUGUGAAUUGCAGAAUCCCGCGAACCAUCGAGUCUUUGAACGCAAGUUGCGCCCAAAGCCUUUUGGCCGAGGGCACGUCUGCCUGGGUGUCACGCAACAU
Molecule: ribosomal RNA, 168 nt
Filed under: Croton cf. lundellii Duran 3367
Lineage: Eukaryota; Viridiplantae; Streptophyta; Magnoliopsida; Malpighiales; Euphorbiaceae
Description: 5.8S ribosomal RNA
Rfam family: 5.8S ribosomal RNA
About the family: 5.8S ribosomal RNA (5.8S rRNA) is a component of the large subunit of the eukaryotic ribosome. It is transcribed by RNA polymerase I as part of the 45S precursor that also contains 18S and 28S rRNA.
Source: RNAcentral